GGGCUAUAGCUCAGUUGGUAGAGCGUCUGAAUGGCAUUCAGAAGGUCGAGGGUCCGACUCCCUCUAGCUCC
RNAcentral lists this transfer RNA (71 nucleotides) under bovine gut metagenome. It matches the Rfam family "tRNA". Rfam says of the family: Transfer RNA (tRNA) molecules are approximately 80 nucleotides in length. Their secondary structure includes four short double-helical elements and three loops (D, anti-codon, and T loops). Further hydrogen bonds mediate the characteristic L-shaped molecular structure. tRNAs have two regions of fundamental functional importance: the anti-codon, which is responsible for specific mRNA codon recognition, and the 3' end, to which the tRNAs corresponding amino acid is attached (by aminoacyl-tRNA synthetases). tRNAs cope with the degeneracy of the genetic code in two manners: having more than one tRNA (with a specific anti-codon) for a particular amino acid; and 'wobble' base-pairing, i.e. permitting non-standard base-pairing at the 3rd anti-codon position. The record is from RNAcentral.